This 1969-nucleotide long non-coding RNA is filed under the name Vitis vinifera (wine grape). Its description in RNAcentral is "long non-coding RNA (VVIN_LNC007330)". The record is from RNAcentral. Lineage: Eukaryota; Viridiplantae; Streptophyta; Magnoliopsida; Vitales; Vitaceae.
UCGCAUCAGGGUUCUUGGGAGUUUGCUCGCAGGAAUCGGCAGACUUGCGCCGUCCUACAGGUGAGUUGAAUCCCACCGGGUUCUUGAUGACGUCGGUUUUGCUUUAAACCAAGAAAAAUAGUCGGGUUCUUGGAAAAUUUGGUCUCCGAACCCUUUUGUUUUUUAUGAUUUGUUCCUUUUUGGUUUUUAAUUUUGAAUUUAUUCUCUCACGGAAGAAGCACGAGAGGUCUGAGUCUUUAGGUUAGCUGCAAGAUAGAGGGACUCGCAUCAGGUUCUUGGGAGUUUGCUCGCCGGGAUCGGUAGACUUUCGCCCCCCUACAGGUGAGUUAUGAAUCCGGGUUCUUGAUGAUUGUGAUGAAAUUCGUAGGUUUUGGUUUAAACCAAGAAUAAUAAUAGGGUUCUUAGAAAAUUGGAUCCGAGUCCUUUUGUUUUUAUUUUUUAUGAUUUGUUCUUUUUUGGUUUUUAAUUUUUAAUUUUUAAUUUAUUCUCUCCACGGGUCUGAUUCUUUGUUUUGGGGAAUUAGUUUUUGAUGAUGAUUCUUUCAUGGUUAUUGUAGAUCUGUUUUUUUUUAGUCCAUUCGUUUGUUAAUGUGCUGUUUAGUUGUGCAGAAAUUGUAAUUAAAAAAACAGAUAGUUUUUUAAUCUUUUUAAGUCAAAUAAAACUACCUGUAAGAAAGUUCUAGGUUUUGAAUUUUUGAAGUUUCAUCGUGUUCUUUGGUAUUUUGAUUUACCAUGAACUUUUUUUACCUAUCAAAAAAAAAAAAAAAAAGGCUGGGCUAGAAAUUCAUAGACAUCAACUUGCUCAAAUCCAUGAUAGAAAACCCUAUCAAAGCUAAGGUAAAAAUCCUCUCCCUUCUCAUCCUACCAUUCAUCAAUUCAAUUAUUAUAAUGAUUUUUUUCAUGAAUAAAUGAACAGAAACAGAUAAGUAGCAAUUUUUAGUGAAAGAUAACCUUGAAAAUGGAAGUUUCUGAAUCUAGGCUUUGGACAAAAACUGUAUCACCAUGAUCUCUUCUCUCUUUUGAACUUAAAGGUCUAAAUCAUGCAUAGACUGUUAUGUGCGACAUAUUUUUAUGGUGCCAAAAACCUUUAUCUUCCAAGAAUUAGUGCAUAACUAUCAUGAAAUUCAGCAAAAUAGAGUAUGACUUAAUCCACCUGAAAAUUCUAGAACUAGAGCUUUGUUUUGUCAUUGAGGCAUUUUCUAAUUCAUUACUGAAAAUUUUACAUUAUUAUUUAUUAGCACAGUAUCAACUAUCACACAAACUUGUAUUUGUCACUUAGAAGGUUUGAAACCUCUAAUUGGUGAUACACUCCUUGUUGCAGGGACACUUUUCUUUGCCAUGAGCAAUGUUGGUGAGGUGGGUAAAUAUCAAUACACUUGAAUAUGAUUGUCACAUCAUUUGGGGGCUUUUGACUCUGGAAGAUUUCUGAUUAAUGUCAUUAAAUUUUUUCUUUUUCUUUUGAAACAAUAUGCCCCUUGAAGACUUGCUUUGAAUCAAUAAGAUUUUAACUUGUUUAGCAUUGUCUAUUGUUGUCUUAUUAUAUUAGAGAGAAGAAAAAAUUACACCUUGAUUCCCUUAUUCUCCUUUUCAGUUCUAUCUAGUCAACAACCUAAACAAUUUAUCAUCUUUGAAAACUUGAAGAUCUUCUACUUCUAGCUUUAUCUUGCAGAAGGACAAUGAUUCCUGAUCUAUCUGAAUGAGGUUUAACACCAAGAACCAAAUUAGGCCUUGGACAACUCAGAUGGAAAUUAAAUCUUGUCUGCAUCACUGCUCCAUCUCCAAAUUGACUUGAGCUUUUCUUAUUUACUGACAUUCUAUUUUUGUACAGAUUUAUAUACACUGGAUCUGUAGAAAUUAUAUUGGAUAUUGCACAAGAUCUCCUCAUAGCUACUGAUCAGUAUCUGUUGCAGGGAUAAAGCGUCCCUGUGAGUGUACCAUUGCCCAUGUGAGUUAAGGAGCUCGAUUUUUUG